This 625-nucleotide long non-coding RNA is filed under the name Chinchilla lanigera (long-tailed chinchilla). RNAcentral describes it as "lncRNA (ENSCLAG00000028123.1)". The record is from RNAcentral. Lineage: Eukaryota; Metazoa; Chordata; Mammalia; Rodentia; Chinchillidae.
AGACACACGUUUUACAAGGUUGUUUACGCGGCAACAAGAACCCGGAAGCAGGAAACAGGCGCCAUCUUAGGGGAGCGGCUAAGGCAGCUCCCAACAAUCUCAGGCUGUAGCCCAUGAGUUUGGCUGGGCAUCUGCUUUAAUUAAGUUCAUGUUUUCAGGGAGAUGGCAAAUGUGUGGGGAAGGGAACGUUCAGCCCAUUUAUGAACUUCUAGUCCAGUAAAAUAACAAGGGGAUGGGGCAGAGAGGAGCUGACUUCAAGAGAAAUGACAACAAAAAUGGACUUUCUCAGAAACCCCAGGGUCAGCUGCCCUUCUGCCUAUUCAACAACCAGCAAAGAAGCUGUGUUGUUUUAAGAUGCACGCUAGGGAGCAGAGCAGCAGCUGGCACACACGCUGCUGAAUGCCUCAGCAAGCCCUGGCCCCAGGAAACCCACACCUCACAGGAUUCAGAUGAGUGUGUUUUGAUAGCUUAUGGCUUCAAGGUAUUAAAGGGGGAUUUUCCCGGACUUGCCCAAUCACCCCUGUACAAAACAGAACUGACAGCGACGGAGCAGGUCAACAUCAUUUCAGCCCAGCUUGUCCCCAUUGUACAGAUGAAAAGUCUGAGUGUUGGAGAGGCUGAAUAA